UGGUGAUGAUCAGUGUGCCAGAACAG
This 26-nucleotide non-coding RNA is filed under the name Mus musculus (house mouse). The record is from RNAcentral. Lineage: Eukaryota; Metazoa; Chordata; Mammalia; Rodentia; Muridae.